GGUCUGCGCAGAAGAAGAGAAGAUGAAAAGGCGGAGCUCCUGAGUUCUGGAGUUUCUGUGCGAUGUUCUUCUGACACUCAGAACCCUGUGUGUUCCCCGGAGGUGAUGGAUCUCCUCAUACCAUCACUCAUCUACACACAGGCACAGAAACACACUGCAGUCAGAUAUUACCUGGGAGGACAAGAUCUCCUCUCAGUUACUGAAGCACUGACACACAC
Molecule: non-coding RNA, 218 nt
Organism: Silurus meridionalis
Lineage: Eukaryota; Metazoa; Chordata; Actinopteri; Siluriformes; Siluridae
Source: RefSeq, a predicted model, not a curated record